CACACACACACACACACACACACACACACACACACACACGCACAGCCCCUCCCACGGUUUGCUCGGCCAACUUCAUCAGGUAUUCAUUCAAAAAACACACACACGCCAGCUGGCUUCCCGCCCAGAGACCGCUUACAAGCAGAGACUAGAGAGGGAGGGAGGGAGGAGGUUACAGCGAGAAGGGAAGAGAGAGGGAGUGUGGGGGAGAGGAAGAGGGAGGGAGGGAGCGAGUGAACGGUAGAGAUUAUAAAGAGAGAGUACACAAAAGACACACAUGGAAAACAAACAAAUGUAUACGUGUGUCUGGGGCAGGAACUAUUGUUAAUCUUUUGAGUGUUUUCUACACUUGAUGCAUUAGGACACACGAUCUCACAGAAGUGGUGGGGUAGUUUCUUUUCGUCAGACCAAGAGUGUAAAACCCAGAUUCACAUAAAAUAAUAAAUGAAAAAGCUAAUAGGCGACAAGUCCUCACGUUUGACAAGCUGUAACCAGAGUGCCACUGUACUCGUUGGCCUUUUCUGUUGCGAAAUAUUAACCAAUUACCAAUUAAUGCAAUUCCAAAAAACAGUUCAGACCAUUGACAAAUGGCAGGAUUGUGUGUAUUAUCAACACACAUGUGCACUUAAAGGUAAAGGUAAAAGGUAAAUCUAUUUCCCCCUGUUGUGCUCAGAUUCAAUAAGGCUGCACUUCCCACUUUCGACCACUGGGUGUCACAACGGGUCCCCUCGCUGACAGCAUGCAGCAGUCUAUUACCGGCAGUUAGCUGACCUACUUAAAAGAACAUUUGGAAAUAAAUAUAGAUGAAAUGCGCUACUCAAUGCAAAGCGAUGUGGCACGCACGGGGAACACGAGAGUAAUCACUCAUAAGACGCAGACACACACACGCAGAACACAACGGAUUCCCACUGGACUCUACGGGUCUAAACAUGCACUAAAAACACAUCCUGUUUGUGUUGGUUGGUCUUCCUGUCUGCUUGAUUUCACCAAGCAAAAACUAACAAAUUGUACCGAGAAAAGCUCAGCUGGAUAAGGAGAUUGGGAAAUAGCCCUUUGCGCAAGUUAUAACAUUUUAUGUCGAAAAGCAUUUUGGGUGAUAAGCACUGUGAGAUGAUGUCAUGUACCCUUAUGUGUUUGCACUUUGUGUUGGGGCAGCUGGACUUUCUGUGGAUGCAGUUCAAUCCUUGCUACAAUGUCUACAAUCACAAAAUAUCCUUCCUGUUCUGAAACCAGACCAGUUUAGAUCUAAUAACAUUUCUUUAAAAAAACAUAUAUGGUAUUAGUGACAGUUUGGCAUUCCCUCAUAUUAUGAACACAUAUUCAUUUAUGUGUAUAAGAGAUACAUCUUAUAAAAUCUAUAUAUAUUAUCAAAUUAUUACAGAAAGUUAUAAAAGGAAAUGAUCUGAUGUACAGCCUUAAGAAAGAUGUAAUAUCAAGACAGAGACACAGCGCUUUUCUCUUCUGACCACUCAAAGGCUUCCACACAAGACCAGAGCACACUUUGUUUACAAUUGGCGAGAGAGAGAGAGAGAGAGAGAGAGAGAGAGAGAGAGAGAGAGAGAGAGAGAGAGAGAGAGGGAGAGAGAGAGAGAGAGAGAGAGAGAAUACCACUUCAUCAGAACUGGCUAAUGUCCAUUGCCACUGAGCAAAAUGUUGCAUUGCCCCUGAGCUUAGAAAUGUCUAUAAAGCACAUUGCCUCCUAAUUAUGUAUGUGUGUACUUCACGACUUCAGCGUGUUAUAAGCAUGAUAUUGUAUCACUGAGGUCUCCUCUGCACAGCUGCAUCUUGAAUACAUCGUGGGAAACUUGUCGCAACUCUCCUCUGUUUUUCAUAUAAACAUAUUCAAACGAUGCAGCUGUAGUAAACACGGGCUGCAUUAUGCUGAGCCCCAACGGACGGAAACAAACAAAAACAAAUUGGGAUUUUGUGUUCUUCCUCUGGCACAAUUAACCCCACGAUUUGGAGGUAAAACGUUGUGGUAAAAUGACUGCUCUCUUUUCCCUCCUCGUGUGGCGGUCUCAGUCGGAGCCGGUCACUAAGGAAACGGAUGAAAAGCUUCUACACACUCACACCUAUAUACAUAUCCCAGACUCUCACACAGAACACACACACGCUCGCCCCCGCAAAACUUUACACACACUCUCUCUCCCCCCCGUCCUCCCCCUCCUCGUCUGGGCUCUCGCGUUGGCCCUCGUCUUUCCAUCCAUCCGUCUGAGCGUGCGAAGCGAUCGAAGGCCGCGUUCCCUCGACGAUCUAUCGCUCAUAACCUCGUUGUAAUCGUUGCGUAAUCGCGUCAAUGGGCGCCCUGCGAGCGCCGCACACAAACGCAGCCUCCCUUCGCCUCCCUCCGUCUCCCCCAACGAGCCCCGUGCCAGUUUGCUGGCAGUGUAGUGCGCGACGUCAACCCAGAGCCACAUCCCAUUCACAAACCUACUAAUCCACACACACUAUUAGAUCCCGACAGUGUGUGUGUGUGUGUGUGUGUGUGUGUGUGUGUGUGUGUGUGUAGGAUUAGGGAGGGACUGGAAUGGAUGGGCAAAUCACUGCUAAGCUCCUCUAUUGCUCUAUAAUCCUACUACACACACACACACACAUGCAUUCACACAACGCACACAAACACGAACCCAUGCACUCUCACUCUUUCUCAUUUUCACACACGUACAGUGGACGUAUUUACAAACACACACAGACGUAAGGCCGCACCGACAUUCAGACACACAAACGUGCAGACAUACACACCCAGGCGUUAUUUCAAAGACAAUACAGUAUGUAAUCCUCCUCAGGGAAUGUGUGUUCCUGCAUUAAAGGGAGGAGGAGAGAAAUAUGUAGGAAGGGGGUGGAGGGAGGGAGGAGGGGGGGGGGGGGGCAGUUGUAGUGAAAAAAGGAAAAAGAUAAAAGCUAGAAAAGAGAAGCGGAAGAAAGGAGGACAGAUUUAAUUCAUUCAUCAUUCCACCAUCCAUUCAUUCCUUCCACCCACGCAGCCAUCACUCCUUUGUCAGAUCCUCAACCAGAAGACGCUCACAUGAAUUGAGAGCGAAUGUUACUCACUUUACAAAAAUUAAAAUAUGAAGACAUUUCAUUGACCACUUUGAUUAGAUACGACGGCUCAAUCAGCGAUCGAGGACAAGGAGACGUUUGUCCACGAGACCUUAGAGGGCAAAGCCUGUGAUGUGCGAUAUGACGAAGAGUCUCCUUUAUCUCCUUCAUCUGGCUUUUCAUUGCCCAUUUUAUGUCUUUUAAAUCCAAUUUAUUUUGUUGUCCAUAUCGGAUAAUUAAUUAUAAAAAAAACGUUAUGGGUUGAUGAAUCAUGUGAUUAUAGUGUCAUUUUCAUCAUAAUAUUAAUACAUUUUUGCAAAGCAAAAGUCAGAUAUUCCCUUUUGCGUUGUAUUUAUUUUUGCUUAAUAUGACGAUUAAUCACUAUUCAUCAUUCAGUCCUAAUACCAUUUCAAAGCAAAUCCUCCUCAGUGUUUAUCACACCUCACAUUUGUGCUCCCAAGAUGUUUUCACGUGGGUGGAACGCGGUGAGAUAAAGCGCGUGCGAUCGUCUCUCCGCCGAAGACGGGUGGAGGACGGGUGGAGGACGUGCUGACAGGUGUGGGAUGUGCGGCUGCGUCGAGGAGGGUGCUAAACCGCCUCCGCGGCCCGCCUGCCCGAGACGAAUGGCAAUAGAGACACAACUGUAGACUAAUGCUGCACACACACACACACACACACACACACACACACGCAGGCUACGUGAUGGGGUCCGCAUGUGUCCACACAUCGGACAGCGAGUCGAGGUGAGCGGCUGUGAAAGGCCCGGCAGGCCGGCUGGCACUGACGUGGCGUGGAUGCUCGUGUCAGCGGCCGUGGUUUCCACCUUUUGCGAAUAAAAAGGCUCAGGGAUACAAAUGUCAGACAGAGUCGUGGUUGAGGACGGAGAAGACACAAACACACAAACACGCACAUCCAAUGUGGUACCAUUUAGGGCUCGGCAGAUGUGUUUCUGCGUUUAAUAUUUGAAAAUAUAAAAUGUUCUUAACAAUAUAUUUUACACUAUCAUAUUCUUAUGAACAGAUGAGUAUACUUAUACAAACAAAACAAAACAAAAAAUCUAAAUAUACAUAAAAAGGUGCUAGUUAAAACCGAUUGCUAGUUAAAAAUGAUUACUAAAACAGUUUGUGCUUCCAGUCCCUCUUGCCUUAACGGAGCAGUUUGCACGUGGAGGCUACUGUUGGAAUAUGAGAAGAAACACGAGAAGACAGAAGACAGACUGACUGCACACGUGUCUCGUUGCUUAUCUCACUUUGCUUACUGAUCUUUGACUUCCUUCAACAUCAUUAUUUUCAGUAGUUUCUAUGCACGCACAAACAAACACACAAACACACAAACACAGAUGAAAGGAAAUUCCAUCUGGCUGACAUUCUCUGGUUGGACCUUUUCAAACUGAGGAAAGACCAGCAAGUGUGCGUGUGUGUGUGCACGUGAGUGUGUAUGUGUGUGUGUGUGUGUGUGUGUGUGCAGUGCUGUGACAAAAAAAACAUUCUUGCGGCCAAAAUUCUUCAGCCUGGAUGCAACUGUCUCAUGGACAGACACACACACACACACACACGCACACAUUCAGUUGUCUUGAGGGUGGUUGUGUGCGAACCCUUUGACCCCGACCCAAUUUCAACAACAAACACGGUUAAUGCCUUAAAGAGCGCCAACACUUUGCUUGUUUGUGGGAAAAUUGUGGAAAAGAAAACGUGUGAGGAACAAAGGAGGGGGGGGGCGGACGACAAGAAGGGAGGUGAGAAGGAUGAAGGGAGUAGGAGGGAGAGGACGAGGCAAGGAACCGGAAAAGAAAGGCCCGAAAAAACCUGCAGGGAGACAGCGAUGUCACCUCGUAGUGGCACUGCAGCGAGAGAGAGAAAGCAGAUUGAAACGGACGUGAAGAGAGAGACUAAGGCGAUAUAUUAGCCGAUAGAAGUCAAGCAGAUAACUUCCCACUCCUUGGGCGAUUGAUUCAAGGGAUCAAAUGCAGGAUGCUGUGUGUGUGUGUGUGUGUGUGUGUGUGUGUGUGUGUGUGGGCGUGUGAGAGAGAGACAGUGACAGUGAAACUCUGGCUUCGGGCCUCGGGGCAUGAUGUAGUACUACGAGAGAUAACUCUUUUGAGACAGCACUUAGUCUUUCUCCUCUCAGUGCGUGUGUGCGCUCGCGUGUGUGUGUAAGAUACUCAACAGUUUGUAACCAAAGGAGCUCGUAGAUGUAAAAAGUGUUUUUUCCUUGGCGUUGUGGGUCACGUCCAGUCAAGGUAAACCGCGGUUGCGUCUUCGCUUGCUGGUCAAUGUGAAGGUUGGUUUGAGCGUGUGGCGUUCAGUCUCCAGCGGACCGUCUGCAUCAAUGCCAACACCCCCCGAGUGUUGAAAACAAGUUUGUGUCUGUCUCCGUGUGUGAGUGUUUCGAGAGGACAGCAUAAAGGAAUGCCUCGGCUCAAGAGUUGCCAAGAGCACUUUUCCCAUACGCCGGGGAGCCAAGACUUCCCCGAGCAGCCAAGAAUAGCACCAGCACUCUCUCUCCGUUUCUCCCUCACACUUAAGCAACCACACUUUUUACUCAUUGGCUUCAUCAAGGAAAGACGGCGAUGGAGCACGCACACACACACACACACACACACACACACACACACACACACACACAGAAAGGACAUGCAUUCAUUUGUCCUAAAUAAGAACAAUGGGUAGAGACCAAUCUGCAUGGGUGUGUUUUGUGUGUGUGUGUUGGUGUGUAAGCUUCUGCGUUAAGGGGCAUGCUGAGAGAAUAGGAAGCAUGCUUCUGUGCCAACCCGAUCCUUGGCAGUCAAACAAGGACACUUACACACAGACGCACACACACACACACACACUGCUGAGCGUUUUUAAUUGGCUACUGAUUUGCCAGUUAGUGUUCUUGCUACUCUCUUCACCUCACUGUGCUGGCCCCCUGCCCCACAGCCUGGCAGAGACACAGCUGGACCCGGACAAAGUGUGUGCGGUAUUGUGUGUGUGUGUGUGUGUGUGUGUGUACGUGUGUCACUCUGAAGCAAUUAGUGAGUGUGUCCGUGCAUGUGUGUAGGUAAAGGACGGCGUCACUUCAGAUACAUUUCACGUUUGCUCGUGAGCAUCCAAAUUAAGAAGGUUCAGAUCAACGGCCAGACAUCUUUUUCAUUCUCAAGUAUCACUUCAUUCAAGUUGUUCUAAGUUUUGCAUUUUCAGUAAACAUCCGCGAUGGUGUGCGCUGAUCUUGUGUGGCUGAGGCCACUUUUUCUCCUUUAAUGUGGAUGUGCACCAAGUCCAAAAUCAGUCAGGAAAGUACGGUACGUUAUCUAAUGUCAAAAUACUCGUGAGGCUCUUGAUGCUCACAAAUACACACCACGUGCACUAUGGCGCGCAUCGCCAACACGUUGUAGGCCUGUACAACAGUAGCGCGCACAAUAUCCGUGGGGUAUCUUUCGUGCUCAAUUGCUUGUAAAGUGUGCGUGGAUGGGCGAGUUAGCGGAAGAAAUGAAUCAAACGUAACACACUUCGGUGACUUUUCAGAGUAAAGCAAAGCUCUGCCUGUGUGUAUGUGUGCGUGUGUGUGUGCACGUGAUGUGUGUGAGAUUUAUGUAGCCUGUGAGCACAUUGCCUCCUACAGCAAUAUUUUGCAAGGUAAUGACAAUCAACACUCAUUUCUCAACACACUGACACACACACACACACACACUACACUCUUAUCUCAUCCUCUUUGUUUUUGACCUUGGGAUGCUCAUUGGUGUGUGUGUGUGUGUGUGUGUGUGUGUGUGUGUGUGCACCGUCGUGUAUGUGAUGACAUCAUUACUGGAGCAGAGCACUCUAUAGCUGAUUGAUGGAGAGAAGUCUUGUUAUGGUCGACGGCAGCGAGCACAUUGCCCAGCAACCAGACAAUUGGACCUGGCCGCACUGUGUGUGUGUGUGUGUGUGUGUGUGUGUGUGAGUAUGUGAUCUCGGCCCUGCAGCUCACAGGACGUACAGGUCAGCCUGUCUCAUGCACACACACACACACACACACACACACACACACACACACACACACACACACAUCUGCUUCACAGACAAUCCAGACGAGCAGAUUGCUUUUCACGUACACAAGGACGCACAGACACACGCGUACACACACACACAUACAUCCAUGUACACACACAAAGUAGCAGAGGUUGUAGGAUUAGUGCUUCUACUGCAGCAACAAAGUUGUCUCAUACAUUUGAUAUUCAAGCUGUGAUUAUCAACCGAUCGUCAUACAAUGUGUGAAGUAAUGAUUUGGGAGGAUUUAUCCUUCACUAAUCCUUUGGCAUUUUUAUCUGCUAAAGUUCCGUUCACAAGUUUCGAUCUCUCCCUUUUUCAAAAUUAGCUUUAUUUGUUCAGAUGCACGUUGUUAAAACAUUUUACUGCUUUUCACAUGCAAUCACAGAGUAGGUAAAAAAGAACAUUGAUGCUUAAAUGUUGCACAUGAAAAACAAUGACGCAAAUACAUGAUGUAAUGCAAACUGUGUACUGGAGUUUGAGUCGAGCGAUGUAAUAGAUGUUUUAUCUUUAAACUGAAAGCAGGUGGUAAUGUAAUGUGCAGAUAUAUUGCAGAUAAUGUGCGUCUGCGGAGGAGACACAAUACUUCAAGUCCCUCAAACAAUCAGGGCUCUGAUGUCAUGUGUCAAGCUUUGUUUUUCUUUUCCUUUCAAUGAGCACGUCAGCUGAAACGUAAGGCUGAGUGGCCGGUUGAGUUUAUCAUAAUUAAUCGAUGAGUAUUUAAUAACGUGGAUGUCAGCCCAGCUCGCUUUCUGUCUGCAGCGUAGCUGAGAAUAAUGAGGAGCAGUUAAACCCGAACUCAAACACCAUGCAGAAUGGAAACACAGCAUCUCUGAACCAAACAUAGAUUUAAGAAAGGAAAGAAUGCAAGAAAAGAAAAGAUGCAGUGGCAGAUGACUGUGGGACGAUAACAGAGAGAAUGAAUAAAAUAAAGAGACGCAAAAAGAAGAAACAAAAGGAACAGAGUCGAUGCUGAGUUUGAUAACAGAAAAAAUGAAUUUGCGUCUCUCUCUCUCUGACGAUCUGAAGAUCUUCAAAGGCUAAUGGAGCACUCCUGAGACGCUGCUACCAACACCGGUAGGACACACACACACACACACGCGUACACACACGUACACCCUGCUGGGAGACAAGCUCAGUGGUGCCGUCCUCUGAACCAAAGUAAUGAUUCACCAGGAGCUCCCAGACAGAUGCAGGGAGGGAGGGAGGCAGAGUAUGACAGGAGGAAGAAAAGCAGAUUGCAGAGAAGGGAAAUGUGGAAGAAAUUAGACAAACCUCAUAGCUGCAGGCCUCGUACUCGCCUGAUUUGUUUGCAAAAACCACUCAAAAUAAGAAUGAGAAAGCAUAAUGUGAUCCAACAAAAACAGAUAAUAGAUAGAUAUAAUGAUGGUACAAUAAAACUUAUUAUCAACGAUUAAAACCACAAGCUUAUGCCAAUGUUAUCUUCACUCACGUGUAUUCCUUCCAUAAAAUAUUAAAUAAAUUAAAUGAAUACAAUAAAGAGACCUGCCCUCUCCAGAGCAGCGACAAAGCUCUUUUCCCUGCACUUUGGCCUUGGGAGAAAAUGUACAACCCGACCUAAACGGCGCCUCUCCCUGCUCAGAAGAUGAGUCGGCGUGAAAACGUGCACAAAAUCUGCACGGCUGAUGAAGUCGGGCUCAUUAUUUGCUGCGGCUGUUACUGCCGCUGCUCGGUCUGGGGAAAUAAUAUUCUUACACGCCUCGUUAACUCGCUCUCUCUUCACUUCUUGGCCCCCCCUGCCCCUCCCCCCCAUGCCUUUCUCAUUCGUUUCCCUCUUCCCAAACGGCCGCUCGUCUCCCUCGCUUCCUUUUUCUCCGAUGUCGCCUUUCCUCAUUUGACCUUCCCGCUUCCCCCGGUCGGUUUACUCAUGUGUGGCCCAUUGUGCGCUCCGUGCACGUGUCAGAUGAGCACUCGGAGGAUGUUUUACAGGCAGCUCAGUUCCACGCUCAAUUGGUUAACUGACGGAGCGGCAGCGCCCGCGCUGCGCUUUUGAACUUUUGAUGGAAAACAAGUACGUUGGCGCGGUGCAUCCUCUGCGUUAGGAGCACGCGAGGAAUAACAUAAGGAAGAAAGGAUGUUUUCAUGUUCUCGUGGCAGCGCAGCCUUUUUCUUUUUCUUUUAAAAGACGUGUGCAGCUUAUUUUAUUCAACCUGGUGCCUGUGUGUGUAUGUAAAAUAAAAGUAGAACCAACAAAACAUAAAAUAAAAAUGUUUUCCGAUGCUAGUGAUCUAGAUAUGGAGACGGUUGUUGUCCAUAAACUACACUUAUUAGCACUUUUUAAUGUUCAACCACACUGCAUUAUACGCUCUCUGCUGUAUCUUUUAAAAGCAACGAUUUAGUAACUCAGAAGACGAUGAGAGUAGCUGCGAGUGGUACUAAAAUUCAAGCGACACCGAUACCUGAAUGCCACCGGGGUUCUAUUUAGUUGCUACAAACCAAUAGAACCAACUUAAAAGCCACUCGCUGUCCCUUAAACCCGAAAACCCCACCUGAAAUGUACCCUAAUAAUUGCCAUCAUAUUCCUUUAAGAGUGCGGGUUCUUUUCAGCAGUCACACACUGAGCCAAGUCUAUUUAUAGCCAGUCUGUCUAUGAGCCCUACUACAUUUACAUGGGAACCGGUCUCACACACACGCACACACACACACACACACACACACACACACACACACACAAGUACGCACGUCACAGACACUCCCACUGGUUGAUAGUGAGCAUGCUUUUCCUGCUGUGGUUGAACAUCCCGCUGACAGUAAAUGCUCGGUGCUACUCGACAUCGCAGAGCAGUUCGGCCACAAAAGUUGUGUGAAGACAAACUGCAGCAAAACCUUUUGACGUCUCCCAAAAUGAACAACGGGUUUAUUCCUGGCAGAAACCACGCAGAGCGUCUUGUAGUCUGAAAGUGGAAACCGACCAACACUGACCUCAAAGUAUGCGAGAUGGCUUACUUUGCUGGUGGACAGCAUGAAAGCUGUAGUAAUGUGUUGUUUAACGACGCUUCAUGUCAUGUUUCUAUCGCAUUAAAUCCGUCAUACAUUCGUUGCUGUUUAACUCUUAGCUGUGGACGUAAGCGGUACCUUGCACACACGCAUGUGUUGGAUCUGUAUGUGAAGCAACCACAAAGUCACGCUGGGAAAAGCUCGGGUGCAAGCCGUGUAAUCAAUGUUGCUUCAGUUUCAAUUUAGCUGCCUCAAAUUCAAGGACCUGCUUUUGAAUUGUUGAAUUGUCACCCUGUGACACUAUUAUUGUGUUUUCUUUUUUUUCUGUGUUUUGUGAUAAAUCAAACUGCUGGGAAAAGCACAUAGUUUGGUGUCCGUGUUCAUGUACACGUCACAGCAAUUUGAAGCCACACUUACUUGAUCAAACUCCUUUCGAUAUGCGCAGUAAUGUUGAAGGUCGGAUGGGUGCUGUGCAAGAAGGGAUAUUGGUUUCUGAGUGUGUGAGUUUUGGUUUGUGUGGUUGACAGAGAGGCAGAGAGAGAGAGAGAGAGGGGGGGAGACAUCAUUACUAUGACUGUUUUUAAGGCCUGGUAGAUGGGUCAGGGUAGGGUAGAUGUGAGCUCUUGGUUUGUUUGUGUGUGUGUUUGUUUGCACAUUCUGUCCUCUUCAUCAGGGUACUGGUGAUAUUUGAUUGAGUUUAUAAACAUAAAGACACCCACACAGUCCAUCGCCAACAUGACAUUUAUGCCUGUAAAAUGAUGUAUUUGUAUAUCCUUCUUUCCAUUUCCUUUCUGUCAUUCUCUUCCUGCAGCAUCACUGUUCACUUCCAUCCUCCUUCACUUGCAACCCGCGUGAUUCUUUCCCUCAGUCCACUCCCAUCUACUAUCCACUAUGCAGUAGAACAACCCGGCUAUUAUCAAUGUAUUUAACUCCCUCCUCCCACUGAGAUCAGUUCCAAAUUUUCCUUUUUCACAUCCCUCUCAACAUAAAUACCUCCCUCCCUCCCUCCCCGCUUCCCUCUUUCCAAGCAGUGCUCGUCCUUCUCCCCAGUGUUUUACCCCCUCCCAUCCUCCAUCUGUCUCUCCCCACUCUCACCGUCCUUCACCUUCACACCACAACCUCCCACUUUCACUGUCUCUGGAAUCGCUAUGAAGGUGGGUGAGGUAAUCAUAAAGCCUCCCCACGCACACAGACACACUCAACAGUGUGAUCAUAAAGCUGACAACGCUGUCAUUUGGGGAGAAACACACCCAGAGAUAAAGUAAAGGGUCAAUCUGUGUGCGUAUAUGAGGAUAUAUGAGAAGUGUGUGUGUGUGUGUGUGUGUGUGUGUGAGAGAGUUGAAGGGGAGCCACUACACAAAUGUUUGCAGUAAAAGCAAUGAAGAGAAAACUGUUCUAUAAGCUCCAGUCACAAGCCUGUGCGUGCGUGCGUGCGUGCGUGCGUGCGUGCGUGCGUGCGUGCGUGCGUGCGUGCGUGCGUGCGUGUGUUUAGGGGAUUCCGCACUGCUCGCUGUCUCAUUACUUUGCAGCUUGGUCCUUUGCGCUGACUCGGACACACUGUGAACUCACAAGCAGACCAUGUCCCGCGCAGGGUAACGUUACAUGUAGAAAUGGAAGUGGCCCAGCAGCCAGCUUAGCCUAGCAAAUAGCUUAGCAUAGUGGUGCUUUGAGUGGUCGUUUUUGCCACUAAUCCCCCUGUUCUGUUUGACACGUGGAGGAAUUACGCCCUGCACAGUUCAGAAGUAAACAAAGUCGCGUUGUAAAAUAUUUUAUAACAUUUUGACAGCCUGAUAAUUACUACACGGAAAGGAAAGGAAAACCGUACAAAAGCAUAGAGAAAGUAAACAAGGUGAAGCUGAGAUAAAACAGAGAAGAGUUGAGUCAAAGUGAGACGGAAAAACAGACCAGCAAGACAGUACAGGAAACUGUUUAAUAACGAAUAACAGCGAUCGUUUUUUUGUGUCCUGACCUUCCGAGUCACUAUUUAAGAGGGACGCCAUUCAAAAGUCUCUCAUUUGCGAUACGGGUAGAAUUGUUUGCUAGAGAUGUAGGUCAGUAACGGGGAACAAAUGUUGUUUUGUUACUGAACUAGUUCACAUAAAAAGGCGUCUACCUGUAACUGCACAGCUGUGUGUCAAACAGCCAAAUGCAUUUUCCAUCCCACUGGCUGGCUGGUUACUGAACAGCUGCUCGUUGACUGCUGAACGGCGAAGACUUGACCACCCGCAGGCAGGUUGUCUCAUCGAGCGCGGGCUGUAAGAAAUCCCCCUAAUAAGGAGACAUUAUGUGCAUGUUUGUGUGUGUGCGUGUCAACCACCUGAAUGACUGUGUGCGCGUGCGUGUGUGUUGCAUGUCCGUGCACAGGAGGGGUGCUAUUGCUCGCUGCUGUUACACAAUACACAUUGUAUAACAACUGCUGGUGUGUGGGCGGUUCCCGCCAUCUGGAGAGAUGCAACCCCGACCGCGCCUGGCACUACGCACUGACUGUGUGUGCCUGUGUGUGUGUGUGCACUUUUGUGUUUGUUUGUGUCCACAAAUAGAGGCCGCGUCAUCUACAGUAGCUGUACGUUUCUGGGUCCGUGUUCAUGACGGAUUAAAGCACGGGAAACGAGGGUAAUCCAUUGCUGCGGAUGCACUGCGUGUUUUGCUGUUUGCGACCUUUUUCCCCCUGAUAAAUACCCCAAAUGCAUUAUUGUGAAGAUGUAUUGCAUGUGAAAUUGUAUCCGCACACAGGACUCCUUGACCGUACCUUCGUGGCAAGGUCUUCUGGGGGUUUGACGGGUGAUAACCGAUUUAGCCGAAGCCAAAAUUUAAGUCCAAAAUUAAGUCAACCACACAAACAACGUCUUGGAGAUCCAUAAACAAACAAACAUAAACAGACAAACAGACAGUCACGAGAAGUGUACAGAGCACACAACACAAACACACACACACACACUAAACAAGGCGAGAAUCAACUCUGUCAACUCCAAGUCGGAGCUCAACAGCGAACUGUUGCUAUGGAGAAGAAAAGUGUGGCUUUCCAGUCUAUUUUAGGGAGAACAGUGUUACUUAUUCUUUUCGCUGCAUAUAUCAGAUGCAAACGGAACCAGAUAUCGAGCACUGGCUCCACACUGUCUGUGAACAGUGAGAGGAUUUCAAUUAAUCAACCUCAUUAUUCACCCUCACUGCAGCUACUGAUCUGUAACUAAUCAGCCUACCAAAAACACACAAAGACAGCAGUCUGCAAAAUGUCUAAAUUGGACCAAACAAUGUACUUAAUCAGGACCACAAUAAGGCAACAAUCAUCUUAAAUAGGAAUGAACAAUUUCCCAUAAUGUGUUCAUGUUAUAAACAGCAGCACAGUAACGGCUUCUAUGUGAAUGCAGCUUAGGGAUCAUUGCUUCCCAUCAUUACUGACUCCUCUGCAUAUCAGAAGCUACGAUAAUUGGACACAUCUGUUGUGCACUCUAUUACACACUAUUGUGUGUAUUUAGUUGUCUUGCUUAUGACAUAUUGAGAAAUAUCAAAGCUUUUAGUGAUAAGAAGUAAAACGACGUGGCCAGUACUUCCUCAGAGAACACGGGUUCCACUGAGAGCAUGACUACACGCUGUACUAUGGUUGCACUUUGAGUUCACUUAUAUUUGCAUGAGGCACAUAUGGGAGCCAAAGUGCAUCCACACGCGUGUGCAUGCUCCUGCAUUUCCACUUCUCAAGGUGAAGCCACGCAGUGAGCCAACUUGCCUCUGAUCCUAUAGCAGAUGACAUCACAGCUAAAGAGGAAGUCGCUGGACUCUCAUCCCGCCUGCUGUCAUUGAGAAUCGCAGCUUCUCUAUUGCAAACACCUCCCAACUCAUUGCUGUUGAUCAUCUCCUGAAUGCAAUACUUUAUUUGAGUCUCCGUGUGGCUUGUAUGAACCUGUGGUUGAUGUAUUUUGUCUUCUAUGUAGAGUGAGAACUGAAAUAAUGAAUAAUGAAUUUUUAUUCUUCAUUCUGUUUCAGAUAGCUACAACAUUUUGUACCGAGGGUUAAAAACACACUGAAAACAGAUACAAGUGUAUAUAAUUAGGGAAAGUUUCUGCUGUAUCAAAAGCCAUAAAAAAGAUCAAAACAUUUUCAAAUCCAAAUCCUCAGUUCAGAUCUCAGGGAUCCACAUUUCAUUCCUCCUGCUUGUCAAGCAAGAACCCCCCAUUGUGUUGAAAAGCAUGAAAUAUGUGGGUUUAAAUAAUGACGAGAGCACACCUGCUUUCGGUGGGAAGUUAUGCGAAUUUUUAAAAAUGCAACCGCUUACUGGCUGUCACUGGACGUCAGGUUGGGGUUUUGUCUUGUCAUUUCCUGUUUUAUUUUGAAAGAUUAACCUUCCUCUCGUUUCAGGUCUUGUUUCUUAAGAAUGACCUCAAGUUUUUUUCACAGCAUUUUUGGUUUUCCUCCUAAUGGAGCGAUUUGGAGUUUUUUUUAGGUAUUCCUCUGUGAAGAGUGAUUUACUGUUUAUAGAUAAUUUCUUUCAGAUUUUGUUGAUAGGUUUCUUAUAAGGUUUUUUUUAUAGCUGCUUACUUUAUCACCCAGUGUGGGAGAGUCCUAUUUAAAGUCCAGGUCUGACACUGGCUCUCUCAUGCCCUUCCCUUCGAUGAGUGAUCCACACUCCACUCAAGU
Long non-coding RNA from Gasterosteus aculeatus aculeatus (three-spined stickleback), 14627 nucleotides. The record is from Ensembl. Lineage: Eukaryota; Metazoa; Chordata; Actinopteri; Perciformes; Gasterosteidae.